UGAAGGUUCCCCAAAAUCACCUCACCAGUAUGGGAAUUAUCUCACAAGAAACCCAUGAGGCAGCAAGGGCUUCACUACAAUCCUGUUGUGUUUCUUUUCAGACAAACAUCUUUAAAAGUAGUUCUAUACAGUAGAUGAGUGCUUUGAAGGGCCUUAUGUUAAUAAGUUGUAGAAGACUGUGGGAACAUUUUGUUUGCAAAAGAAAAGGAAAAUGAGGAAGAACAGAGGGUAGUGGCACUGUAGAAAAGGAGAGAGGGAGAGACCGAGAGAGAGGUGCUCUACACAUCAUCCACAGCUGACACAGACAGUUUCAUCCUCCAACCUUUGCUCAACGCUACACACAGACUGGACUAAGGGCUCCUACUCCCUCCAGAAGACUAUGGCCUCAACUGCUUUUUUUAAAGGCACAGGCCUCCUGCUCUUCUUACUACUGGGACUGCAGCCAUCGUCAUUUGUUUCAGGACAAAACACAACCUCGAGUUCCAAUACAACGACCGAUGCUACAACCACGGUGGCUGCAACAAUUGUGUUGUCAACUGACAUGAGUACUGUCUCUGCAACAGCUACGAUGACAGUUACCACAGCUCAAGCUACAAUGUCGUCUGCCAUUUCUUCUACGAAUGCUGCAAUGUCAUCUGCAGGGUUGGCAACUACGAUGGCAGCUACGAGGGUUCAAGGUGCUGCUAAUACGGCAACCUCCAAUUCGUCCAGUGUAGGUUCAAUGACAACAGCCAUGACCUCCACUUCAAGAAGUGUAACCAUUGACAACUCAAGGAAUACAGUGGCGGGUAGUGGAACCCCAAGCACGGACAAUACUACCUCAUGGGGCACCAGUGGCAUGACCAUGAUAUCCUGUCGCCAGUUCUCCUGUAACUACUCAGACUGCUACGAUGUGUACAUGAAUAGGACUUCUGUUUCAUGCAACGCUAAUAUCACCUUCUGUGAGCUGAAGAGACAGGAAGACAUGACUUACACCGGCGGCUGCAGUUCCUCCUGCAGGAAUGCCUGUGUCAAUAACACUCAGACCAACUGUACCACGGGAUGCUGCAACUCCACUGGCUGUCUUCGCUCCACCCUGGCCUCCAUGGUUCGCCCAAACACUACAACAGUGACUACAGUGAUGAUGACCACCACCACAACAACAGCAGCAGCCACCACUACAACUGCUAUGCCAACCAAUAAACUUAAGAAGUGCCAGAUGUUUCAGUGCACAGAGCAGAACUGUUACAAGACUUGGAUAACCAAAGACCCAAUGCCUUGUCCCCUCAACCAGCCCUACUGUGAGUUGAAAAAGAUGACAAUUGGUUCAACAACGAUGUGGAUGGGAGGCUGCAAUGCCGACUGCACAAGAAACACUUGGUGUACGACCACAACAGGUACAUGCCACCAAGAGUGCUGCAACACCUCCAUAACAUCCUGCCUCAAGCUGGAUGGGUCUCUGAACGUUCCUUCUUCUGCCACUAGAGGUCCUCACUUCCCUUUAGCAUUGAUCACUGCUGCUCUGCUGGUUUGUCUACUCAGCAUUGGUUCUCUGGUUUAAACUGGGUCGUGUUCAGUGGGUACAAGCGGAAGAAAAUGUAUUGAAAGAGGGAGGAAAUACCUUGACUUGUCCCUUGCAAAAUGGUUUAAAACAUUGCCUGUUGUGUGACUUAAUGAACAACCCUGAUGUGUUGACCCACUGAGCCAUUGCUUGAAUUUAAACAGUAGCAGUAGUAGUUAGCACGGCAAAACCUGGUUUCCAUUCCACAUGAAUACUAUACUGGUUGUAGGUCUAGCUUACUCUGUUUUUGUUUGUUUGCUUGUAUAUGAGGGGUAUUGAGAUACUGUAUGUGAGGGCUCAUAUGUGCUUUUGAGAGAUUUAGGUGAUUUAAUAAGUGAUAAUGAUUCCCCUAUGUGAGUCCAAACCAAAUGGGUUUAAAGGGAUUUAUUGAAGAAUAUGACGAUUAAUAUGGCUACAGAAAGCUAUUCAACCAUACCAUCAUACCCAUUUAUAAAUCAGUACUAUGUAAAACAUAAUACACAGAAGAUAGCUAUUUACGAUCAUAGAUGAGUGACCUAAUGUAUGGUACGGUAAUUAAUUCUGCUUUUUCUUAUUGAGAUUUCUGUAAGAUGAAGUUUCCAAUUAUGACAUUUUCAUAAAUAUCCUAUUUUUUUAGGCACAUUUUCUUUUGCCAGUGAUUUGCAUGAUGACUUCCAUGUUUUCUUAGAUUUUUCACUUGCAAAGACCUAGCCUGGUCUCAGAUCUGGUUGUGCUCUUGCUAACUCAAUUGCUCAUUGACAAACCAAAAAUGCCCAGUACAAGGAGUUGGCAUGAUAGCACAAACAGACUGGCACUCAGGCUAAAGACUUUCUCCAAUACAAAAGCAAACAUCUUUACAGAUAUUGCAUAAUAACUCAGUUAUUACCUAGUCCUCGCUAGCAUGUUGUGAAAGACAGAUUGACAAUUUAUGCACUUUUUAAAACAUAUAUAUUGGGUUAUAGAAGGUUUUUGAAAUAUUUGUACUGACGCAUUGAGGUGUAAUUCAUAUCUGUGAACGUAGUCAUAAACUGUACAACUGGAAUAUGUGUUUUACGCCUUUUAUUAUUUAGCUGUAUUCAUACUUAUAAUUUACCAUCAUAACAAUGUGGAAAUUGAUUCUUAAAAAUGGGUUAUAAAAUUGAGUUAUCAAAAUGUCUAAGCGUAUAUUUUUUGCAGUAGUUUCUUCGAAAGUUGGCAUACAACACCUGAUAUGUCAUAUCUAAUAUUUGGAGAAAAGUUACUAAAAUAAAUGUGUCAUGUCGGAUGCGUUCUACAUUGUGCAUAGUGUACAAACUGUAACAACUGCUUUUAAAGUCAUAUGAAUUAAAUAAAUCAAAUCAAAUGUUUUUAUAUAGCCCUUCUGACAUCAGCUGAUAUCUCAAAGUGCUGUACAGAAACCCAGCCGAAAACCCCAAACAGCAAGCAAUGCAGGUGUAGAAGCACGGCGGCUAGGAAAAACUCCCUAGAAAGGCCAACACCUAGGAAGAAAUGUUUGACCAAAACAAAAGAUGAAUAUUUUAUUUUAAAUCAUCUGCAGAGCUCACCUGUUAAGAGAUUGAUGUAACUGUACUUGAAUCAACUAGACUUCUAUACCGAAUACUGCAUCAAAAUAAACAUUAUCUACAAGAGAACCGGCCAGGUCCUUGUAGACUCGCUCUUAUUUAGUAAUUGUACCUUAUAAAGCAUUAGCCAUUCAGAAUUCAUACAUAAAUUAAAAACAUUUAAAUGACAAAACAUUGUAUUCCGUGCCUCUAUGCACCAUUCAUUAGAAUUUGAUUACCAUGGAGAUGGCUGUUAAAACCACAUAGAAAUAUUUUUUUUGUAGCUGUGGCUAAAACCAUAGAUAUAGAACACGAUUGGUAUAUUGCCUAUGGCUAAAGCAAUAUUGUUGAAAUAUCAUUACAAUUGUAAAGGUUGCAUGAUCUUACCAGAAUAAAGGUCAUGUCAAAUUCAAACAUUAUCACCAAAAGACAAUUUAUCACAAUUAAUUCAGAACAGACAUCUUGCUCAUACAGUGCAGAUGGAUGACUAUGGAUGCAACUAUGAAUGCAAAUGAUCACCCAUCCUUUUCAACACCAGGCUUGGGUCCCAAUAGGACCCCUGGAGAUCAUGUUAAGUUCAUUGAUGACUCCAUUCCCUCCAACCCUGGUGUUGAUGAGGAUGACAAUGUGAUCCAUUCAACCAACUUUGUGAACCACUUCUCAGGUAAGAGCUAAGAAAAAUAUUUUUUUUAAACACCUCUACCAUAGAGAUCUUUGCUGAACUUUGAAUAUUGGUAAAUUAUUUUUUCCAAUAGGUUGCAUCAUUUUAUUUUGAUUCAUGACAUAUCAGUACCCCUGAAGAUUUGGUUCAGUUUGUUGCAUAAUCAAUUGUUGAUGAGGAUGUCAAUUAUGUGGUCAUCUGCUUGGGAGAGUUAUGGGUCAACUGCCUUCCUGGACAUGUCUCAGGACAGCUUGUCCAAUGGAGCCCAGUCCUCUCAGUCCAAAAGACAUUGACUACCUAACAGCUAGGAGUUCCAUCUAUGUCCAGUUGAUCUAAUUUGCUAUUGGAUUGGUGUUACGCACGACCUCUAGGAAGAGGGAACGCAACACCCUGCUACAACUCAACUCCCCGUGGAGUGAAAGAGGUAUGGGACUGUAGGUGCAAGUAAGGAUGACAAAGGCAGAGAAUUAACCUUUUACAGGGAAUUUAUUCAGUCACACAGCAAUUUUGGAAAAAGGGGCUGGACGGAACCAAAGCAGAGAAAGUUAAAGUUCCCCCUCUCCUACUUUACCUACUCACAACUUACCUAACAAGCACCACCUGGCGCACUAACCAAAAUACAGGGGAUGGUCCAGACGGGUCUUACCUAGUGUGCAUAGACAAAGUACAUACUCGGGUAUAUUUAUGCCCGCAGGUCACUUGCCUAAGCACUCUCUUCCCCCCUGGGAACAAAUUAAAACGAAUACAAACAUAAGUAAACCAUUUCAAUAAACAAAAACACUGCGUCCUAUGGGGACCUGUCUCUGAGCAACAACCAACACAGGACAUAACCAUCAGCUCUCUCUCCUAACAAACGAACACUGGCUUUUAAAGCUUCAGAAGGAGUCGAUAAUUGAAGACAGCUGUAUCUCCUGAUUAGAGGGUGGGGUCAGAUCUCCAAUCAUUGAUGGGGCUGACCAAUCAGCUGCUUAGAAUUUCCGGAAGCCAUCCUGAAACACACACAUCCAAACAAAACCACAACACAGAAACUGGGGCACAUAACAAUUUGUUUGUUUCAGUGUGUUGUUCCACUCUCUUUACCAUCUGACACUUUGUCCCUGUUGAUCCACAUACCUACCCUGCUUCUGGAGACCCGGGGAGUCUCCUGACCAGAGGGCUUUGACUCCCCAGGAACGUCUUCACCACUCUGGGUUGUCCCAAUCCUGUUGGUCUGAGACCACUGAUGUCUACUCUCUUAAUAGGAACGAGGAGCUCUAAAGUAGCUGAAACCACCUCUCGGAUUGGGUAUUGCCUCACUUGAAAGCCUGGAGCCAAUCGUUCCAGUCUGGUUAUAAUCACUAUGACAACCCUGGCUACCUGUCAGUUACGAGUUCUACCUCUGUCUCGUGUGCUAGUUUGCCUAAUUUGUCUAAUUUGCUUGAUUUUGCAUUGGAUUGGUUUGUUUGAGUAUUGUUUCACUCUCUUUACCAUCUGUCACGUUAUCCUUGUUGAUCCACAAAGUCACCCUGUGUCUGGACUCCUGACUCCAGCAGAGCAGGGAGCCCCAAGCAGUCCAACAGCUCCAGGGAGACUCUUAACCAGAGGACUUGGACUCCCCAGGACUGUCCCCAUUGCUUUUUAACUCCUGAGGAUGAUGUGUUGUACUAGUUAAAUAAAAUGUAACAUGUGAACAACCACCAGGUUCUUCCUGGAGUCCCGGGACAUUCCCUGCCGCUCUGCAACUCAUGUGGACAAUGAAGAGGGUAUGUACAUUACAACAACAACCACUCCAUCCUAGACUCUGAGGAUAUUUCCCGAUACUCUGGCUCCACCCACAGCAAGCAUUCUGAGACAGCCACCUCAAAUGUAUGCUCUACUAUUACAGGUAGCCUAGUGGUUAGAGCAUUGGGCCAGUAACCAAAAGGUUGUUUUAUCAAAUCCCUGAGCUGACAAGGUAAAAAUCUGUUGUUCUGCCCCUGAACAAGGCAGUUAACCCACUCUUCCUAGGCCACCAUUGUAAAUAAGAAUUUGUUCUUAACUGACUUGCCUAGUUGAAUUAAAUAAAAAAUAUUACUUAGGAGGAACUAUGAAAUAUGUGGAUCUCAGAUGUACGUAUGCUCUGCAUUCACUAAGGAGGACCUCUGGAACACAGAUACACGUAAGGGCUCUUAGGGUGUAGCGUAGUAUGAUUUCAUUCAUUAUAGUGUAUUGCAUCUUUAGGAUGCCCAGCCCACAUAUGCUUAUAAGACUCUGCAAAUGAAAAAAUAAAAUCAUAUAUGCAAACAAAUAGGCCACACACUGUCCAUUCACUUAUAGUACUAUUUUAUUUUUAUUUUUUAUUUUUUUGCUUCUCCAGUUGAGAUCUCUGCAUUCCUACAAGAGACUGAGAGUUGAGUCUCAGUCCAACAAUAGGAAGAGGUGCCACUGCCUGGGGUGUGACGCAGAGGACUGGCCUGCCAGGAAGAGAGCCAGGAAUGAAUGUCCAAUUGGCUCUCAUGGGGCCAUGAGGCACAUUAAUAGAACACAAAAUAGGCACCAGUAUAGAGCUGGAUCACAGUACAACAAGACAUUCAUAAUAAAAUAUUGUGACAUUUUUUCCCUUAGAUUUCUGCCUGAGAAAUGCCAUCCAAUACAAUAACUACAACACUUCAAUCCAAUGCAGGAUUAUCUUAAUAAAAAGGUCAAUGUUUUUUCUAUUAAACUACAAAAAUGAUUUUUGACUAGGCAUGACUACACAAUACUGUCCAAAUGAUAUAAUAAUGUAUCUUUAUUUUGUCUGAUGAAUAAGGGUUUUAUAUGUGUGUGUGUAUCAGGAUUUGGGAGUAACUAAAUUCAUGUAAUCCAGUUACAUGUAAUAUGAUGGUUUUUUUAUUAUUAUUUUUUUAAACCUGUAAUCAAUUACGUUGACACCAAC
Molecule: long non-coding RNA, 6614 nt
Organism: Oncorhynchus tshawytscha (Chinook salmon)
Lineage: Eukaryota; Metazoa; Chordata; Actinopteri; Salmoniformes; Salmonidae
Source: Ensembl